This is an RNA transcript of Cololabis saira (Pacific saury), 5412 nucleotides long. It is a transcript of the gene named protein S100-G-like, with no coding region annotated. The record is from RefSeq and is a predicted model, not a curated record. The transcript is spliced from 3 exons. Lineage: Eukaryota; Metazoa; Chordata; Actinopteri; Beloniformes; Belonidae.
ACGCGUACCGUACGCAGGCUUCGCCGUCGAUUUAACGCGGAACCAUAAAUCAGACUUCACACGUGUCAAUUGUUGACGUUUUUUUCCAGGAAUAUGAUUGACUUUAUCUUCUCGUUACACUGCCCCCUGUAGGUUUGGCAGCUCAUAGCACCUUAACAGCUAUUUAUGCGGGUUUGUGUAAAUGAAGAGAUUUUGAAAACAAUGGAAUUUUUCAAAACGUAGAGGGGGAAAUAUCCGUUUUUGUAAAUACCCGGCUAUGUGUAAACGUGGCCUAAAACGGACUGGGAGCCAGUGAAGGGACUUUAAAAUUGGUGUGAUACAUGUAUGUUCUCUCUGGCGGCAAUCAGGCUGAUUGUCUGCACCUGGCGCAUGCGCACGCAGCGACAGGCAGCGAGAGUUUUGUGGCGUCUUUGUCUCCUGUCUUUGCCUUGUCUCAGGUGUUUUUUAACUGUUUUUAGUGCUGCUAUUCCGAAAUGGAUAUUUUAUACAUUGUCCUGUCGUGGAUUUUAUCAUGUGUGCUGCUUGCCCGCGACACGAACCAGGCAGCCAACCGAGACAGAAUCCAGUACAGCAGAGAGCUGUUGUUUCAGCUGAACCCAGCGAGCCUGCCGAGCGGAGCAGAUGUAGCAAAGCUAUCGGACUUCAUACAAAGAGACUUUAACGAAACCUGUCACUCGACAAGGGAAAGGAAAAGGAGAAAACGAGGAAAACGCGGAGGGGUCCGACUUCGUUUAAGGAAGCAGCGCCUGACCCGGAUCCCCUUGCCUUCUAUGAUUCUGGGGAAUGUGCAGUCGCUCAGAAACAAGGUGGACGAGCUCCAGGGGAACGUCCGGUUCCAGAAGGACUACGGGGAAUGCUGUGUCCUGGCCUUAACGGAGACCUGGCUGACCGACCGUGACCAGAACCAUGACCUGCUCAUUGACGGCUUUGGGCCUCCCAUCCGGCUGGACCGGCAGGCCGAAGCAACGGGAAAAACUCUCGGCGGUGGGGUAUGUUUGUAUCUCAACAGACGAUACUGUAACUCUGUGACUGUGAGAGAAAGUAUCUGCACCUCGGACAUUGAACUUCUGUCUGUGUCACUACGUCCCUAUUAUCUGCCACGUGAGUUCCCCCAAAUCUUCUUAACAGUUGUGUACAUUCACCCGAAGGCAAAUGCCGCCACUGCUUCUGGUGUGAUCUUUGAUGUGGUGCAAAAACUGCAGUCGAUUUCUCCUGAUGCGCCAAACUUUAUUCUGGGAGAUUUUAAUCAUGUCUCCUUGAAAAAGACACUGAGAAACUUUUACCAGUAUGUCUCCUGUCCAACCAGGCGGGGUAAGACACUGGACCUUUGCUAUGGUUCAGUGAAAGAUGCCUAUAAAUCAGUUCCACUUCCCCCAUUGGGCUCCGCAGACCAUAACUGCGUGCAUCUAUUGCCCACAUACCAAACUGUCUUGAAGAGGGAGAAGGUACAAACCAAGGAAAUAAAAGACUGGACCGAGGAAUCUGUUAUGUGCCUUCAGGAGUGUUAUGAUUGCACAGACUGGAACGUGUUUAAAGAAUCCUGUGGUGAUGACUUGGAUGAAUUGACUGAUGUAAUUUGUUCAUAUGUGACUUUUUGUAGAGACAUGAUCAUUCCCUGUAAACAAGUCAAAAUCUACCCAAAUAACAAACCAUGGGUAAAUAAGUCCGUAAAAGACUGUAUACAGAAGAAGAAAAAUGCUUUUAAGCAAGGAGUCGCCUCUGACUUACAUAUGGCCACUAAGGAGUUGAAAACUGAAAUUUUAAAAGCUAAACAGAGAUACAAGUCCAAACUUGAAGAUAAGAUGGCCGCAAAUAACCUUGGCUCAGCUUGGUCCUGCAUGAAAACAAUUGCGGGCAUCCAGAGUCAAGGGAAUAACAGCCAUGUUUCCUUAGAGGGUUUUAAGUCUGAUUGUGAGCUUGCCAAUGCUCUUAAUUGCUUUUACACUCGUUUUGAUAACACGGAUUUUAGUUUGAAGGUUCAGGAACUUCAAAACAAACUUAGGAACAACCAGCAUUUUAACAUCACAUGUAGAGAUGUUGAAAAGGUUUUUUACAAAACAAAAGUCAACAAAAGUCAAGGCCCAGAUAAUAUAUGUGGACGCUUGAUUAAAUCUUGUACAAAAGAGCUGAGUCCCAUAUUCCACUACAUUUUUAAUAAAUCCCUGCAGACACAAUAUGUCCCAAAGGUCUGGAAGGAUGCUAUAGUGGUCCCAGUACCUAAAUCUAGUGGCCCCAAAAUUUUUAAUGAUUUUAGACCAGUUGCUUUGACCUCAAUUUUAAUGAAAAACUUUGAGAAACUGGUAAGGUCAGAGAUCUUAAAAAUUACUAAAAAUGCUCUUGACCCCAUGCAGUUUGCCUACAGGCAACACAGGGGAGUAGAGGAUGCCACAACCACCUUGCUCCACCUGCUCUUUAAGCAUCUGGAGGGAAGUGGAUCUCAUGCUCGAAUUCUUUUUAUACCAUCCAACCACACAUUUUAGCCAAGCGCCUUUUAGAACAAUUCAAUUUUAAUUCUAAUCUUGUGGGCUGGAUUUUGGAUUUUUUAACUAACAGGACACAGAGAGUAAGGGUGAACGGGGUCCUGUCUGGUCAGCUUCAUAGCUCCACAGGCUCCCCACAAGGAUGCGUCCUCUCUCCACUUCUGUUCAUUCUUUACACAAACAUGUGCCAGAGCAAAUAUCAAAACAGGACUAUUAUUAAGUAUGCAGAUGAUUCCGUUAUUGUUAGUCUGCUCCAAAGGAAUGAAAGAGGCCAUGGCCCUAUAGUUGAUGACUUUGUGCAGUGGUGUGAAGAGUCACAUCUUCAAAUUAACAUAUCGAAAACAAAGGAAAUGUUAAUUGAUUUUAGCAAACAAAUCCACACAUAUGAUGCCACAACCAUAAGAGGUCAGUUAGUGGAAUGUGUGGAAUCCUACAAAUAUCUUGGGACUAUUAUUGAUUUUAAACUGAACUUUCAAGAAAACUGUGAAACUGUGUGUAAAAAAGGACAACAGCGUCUGCACUGUCUGAGAAAACUGUCUUACUGGAAUGUUGACAGAACCAUGAUGAUUCUUUUUUAUCGUGCCUUUAUUGAGUCUAUUUUAUCUUUUUCUUUGGUGUCAUGGUUUGGAAGCCUUUCUAUUAAAAACAAGAAGGCAUUGAAUCAAAUUGUGAAAUGGUCAAGUAAGCUGAUAGGUGAGCCACAGCUGAACCCUUCUUCCCUGUACACCAGGCAGUUACAGCGGAUAGCCACGACCAUUUUAAAUGAUAGUUUACACCCUUUGCACAGUGAAUUUCAGUUUCUCCCCUCUGGACGGAGGUUGUCAGUCCCAUUUUGUAAAACUAAACGUUAUAAAAACAGCUUUGUUCCAGCUGCAGUAACACUGAUGAACAAGCUGUAGUUUGCACAAAAGUUGCACAAGUCACUUUUCGGAGCACGAUGUAUUUUACAAUGUUUUUAUAUUGCUCUUAUCCAUUCCUAACUUGGAGGAAAUUUUGCUCUUGGUGUUUUAAUUCUUUUUUAGCCUCAUGUCUUUUAUCUCUUAUAUUUAUUUCAUGAACUGCAGCACUUUUUGUCGAGCCGAAGCUGUCUCUUGUUUUAUGUGUAUGUGUUCUUCUUAAAUGUCUUGUUCCUGAACUGAUUGUAUGUUUUCUGCUGCUUGUUUUAACUCUCGACUGCAAAACCAGUUUACCCUUGGGUAUCAAUAAAGUAACCUGAACCUGAACCUGAACCUGUUGGACCGGGUAAUGAGUCUGGCUGCUGCAUUUUGAAUUAACUGUAGUUUAUGGUCAUGGUAACAAGCCCCAUAGGAUUGAAUGGGCCCAUUUGGCUUUAAAUUUCUCAAAAACUGUAAAAUGCAGCCUAAUGAGGCCUUAGUUUGUUGUGGUCCACAGCGUCCAGAGUCUUUUAUCGUUGGAUUGAUGUCUCUACGGUAACGUGUUGCCGAGCAACAGGCGUCCAAAAUUCCAUUAGCAUCAAAAUUAGCAUAGUUAAAUAUCUCAAAAACCGUAAAAGCCAGCAUAAUGAGACUGAAAUAUGUUGUAUUUGUGACUUUAGCUUGCCAGCAAAAUGGGGGGGGUUUCUAGUUUUUUCUGGCGUUUUCUUUCGCAAUUUCUUUUUCAAGGAGGUUCUUGGCAGUUUUUUUGGCUAAAGAAAGGCUUGUGCUGGAUCGCAAUAUGGGCUUGCCACUACUGGCAUGUUCAUAACAAUGUAAUUAAUAGAGUUGAAGUAGAAAAAGAAGUGUGGGAAACAUUCAUCACGGGAGAUACCUCAGCAGUCUAGGCUUGUAGCAACCAAACUAAGGAAUGUCUCACGGUUUCCUGAGCCAUCCCAACCUAUAAGCUUUAUCAAAAAGGAACGUUUUAAGCGUAUUGUUAAAGGAAAUCUUGAAAAUGUUGAGAAGGUGACAUCCAUGCAAGCCAACAAUAAUCCAGAGGCUCAGCAGAAGAGAAGUAUUUCAGUAUCAUACCUAUCCAAAGCACAAACCAUAAUGACUUAUAGUUACACGUUACUGAGAAUAAAAAGCAAAAACGACAUCAUCAUAAAAGACAUUACUUUUGCAACCUUUCCUUUUUAUUCACUCUGGAGUCGAGUAAAGAACAAAUCAUCCCAAACCACCAUCAGGUGACAAGUUUUGUUUUUUGAGUAGUCACCACAAUUUGUCCAUAAAAUGUGUUCAGUUGUGGCAUCUCUUAUUGUUUCCAAAAGUUCUAAAACUCCACUGUCCACCAUAGAAUGAAUGUAGUUAUUGAGGCGAAAUACAAGUUUGAAUCUCUUCACACUGCAUAAUAACACUACUACAUCAGCAGGUCUCGCCUAUUAUUGGUUCAUCUUUUUACUGCAUUUAUGAAGUCUGCCUUAGUCCAGGUUGCAUGAACAGGGUGUGGUGCAGCGCUGCAGGCUGUUGACUUUCCUCUCCUAUUUAAGCCGCCACAUACACUCUCUUCUGCACCGUGUGGACUCAGUUUUGCAUUGGAACAACGGACACUCUGAAAAUGGAGAGAGAAUUAUCCGGUCUGGAAAUUGCCGUGGCUGCCAUGUUCGGCGUCUUCAUGUCACGCAGAGGACCAGAUGGAAAACUGAGCAAAGAUGCCUUUUUAAAAUUAGUGAAGGAAGAAAUGUCAAUGUACGAUCAGGGAAUGGGAGACGAGAUGUUCAAAGAUAUUGACCGGAACAAGGACGGAUCUGUGGAGUUCAAGGAGUUUGCAAGGCUGGUUGCCACAAUGGCCUCAAGUAGCUACAAAAUCCUGGAGUCAGCAGUGAAGCAAAUGGAAAAUAAAAAGAAAUGAACGUGCAAACCAUUGCUGAAGAAAUAAAAACAUCAUCAUCCGACUUACUUCAGAAUCAGAAAUACUUUUUACUUUUAUUGAUCUCCAAGGGGAAAUUGCCUUUUUUGGUUUCACAAUGAAGUAAUAAAAGCUUGUUUUAUGCCAA